GCUCUUAUGGUGUAAUGGUUAGCACUCUGGACUUUGAAUCCAGCGAUCCCGGGUUCAAAUCCCGGUAGGGAGCU
This is a non-coding RNA of Phytophthora infestans T30-4, 74 nucleotides long. The record is from Rfam. Lineage: Eukaryota; Oomycota; Peronosporomycetes; Peronosporales; Peronosporaceae.